Small nuclear RNA from Kogia breviceps (pygmy sperm whale), 108 nucleotides. Lineage: Eukaryota; Metazoa; Chordata; Mammalia; Artiodactyla; Physeteridae. The record is from RefSeq and is a predicted model, not a curated record.
GUGCUCACUUGAGCAGCACAUAGGUUAAAAUCAGAACCGCGCAGAGAAGAUUAGCAUGGCCCUCCGGGCAAAGAUGGCAUGCAAAUUUGUGAAGCGUUCCACGUUUUC